RNAcentral lists this ribosomal RNA (118 nucleotides) under Echinops telfairi (small Madagascar hedgehog). The record is from RNAcentral. Lineage: Eukaryota; Metazoa; Chordata; Mammalia; Afrosoricida; Tenrecidae.
GUCUACGGCCAAACCACCCCAAACACGCCCGAUCUCAUCUGAUCUCAGAAGCUAAGCUUGGUCGGGCCUGGUUAGUACUUGGAUGGGAGAGAUGAUUGGAGGUUUUGAGCAGUGGCUG